Molecule: ribosomal RNA, 491 nt
Filed under: Furfurilactobacillus rossiae
Lineage: Bacteria; Bacillati; Bacillota; Bacilli; Lactobacillales; Lactobacillaceae
Description: bacterial SSU rRNA
Rfam family: Bacterial small subunit ribosomal RNA
Source: RNAcentral
CUGGCUCAGGAUGAACGCUGGCGGCGUGCCUAAUACAUGCAAGUCGAACGCACUUCGGUUUUUGAUUGACGGUGCUUGCACCAGAUUGACGAGACAUUGAAGUGAGUGGCGAACGGGUGAGUAACACGUGGGUAACCUGCCCUAAAGUGGGGGAUAACAUUUGGAAACAGAUGCUAAUACCGCAUAACAACGAAAACCACAUGGUUUUCGCUUGAAAGAUGGUUUCRGCUAUCACUUUAGGAUGGACCCGCGGUGCAUUAGCUAGUUGGUAAGGUAACGGCUUACCAAGGCAAUGAUGCAUAGCCGAGCUGAGAGGCUGAUCGGCCACAUUGGGACUGAGACACGGCCCAGACUCCUACGGGAGGCAGCAGUAGGGAAUCUUCCACAAUGGGCGCAAGCCUGAUGGAGCAACGCCGCGUGAGUGAAGAAGGGUUUCGGCUCGUAAAACUCUGUUGUUAAAGAAGAACGUAUCUGAGAGUAACUGUUCAGAU